UCAGCGGGGAGGAAGGCGUUAAGGUUAAUAACCUUGGCGAUUGACGUUACCCGCAGAAGAAGCACCGGCUAACUCCGUGCCAGCAGCCGCGGUAAUACGGAGGGUGCAAGCGUUAAUCGGAAUUACUGGGCGUAAAGCGCACGCAGGCGGUCUGUCAAGUCGGAUGUGAAAUCCCCGGGCUCAACCUGGGAACUGCAUUCGAAACUGGCAGGCUAGAGUCUUGUAGAGGGGGGUAGAAUUCCAGGUGUAGC
RNAcentral lists this ribosomal RNA (251 nucleotides) under Mycobacterium tuberculosis. Its description in RNAcentral is "partial 16S ribosomal RNA". It matches the Rfam family "Bacterial small subunit ribosomal RNA", at positions 434 to 679 of the family's 1533-position model. The record is from RNAcentral. Lineage: Bacteria; Bacillati; Actinomycetota; Actinomycetes; Mycobacteriales; Mycobacteriaceae.